Molecule: ribosomal RNA, 300 nt
Filed under: uncultured Paenibacillus sp.
Lineage: Bacteria; Bacillati; Bacillota; Bacilli; Caryophanales; Paenibacillaceae
Description: bacterial SSU rRNA
Rfam family: Bacterial small subunit ribosomal RNA
Source: RNAcentral
GUUAACUUCGGGCCAGCGUCCGUGGGAAUGUGAAGGGGGCUAGCAUUGUUCGUAAUUAGUUGGCCGAAAGCGCACGGAUGCGGACAUGUAAGGCAGGGGUGAAAUCCCGGUGCUCAACCGCGGAACUGCCUUUGAUACGGGGUGUCGUGAGUGUGGAAGAGGUGAGUGGAAUUCCGAGUGUAGAGGUGAAAUUCGUAGAUAUUCGGAGGAACACCAGUGGCGAAGGCGGAUCACUGGUCCAUUACUGACGCUGAGGUGCGAAAGCGUGGGGAGCAAACAGGAUUAGAUACCCUAGUAGUC